UGAGUACGAGAUGCUACGGCGUCGAAGCAGUCUAUGUCAUACUUCCAAGAAAAGCUUGCACUGUCAUAAACAAAGAAUGCCUGUACCAUAACCGACACAGGUGGGUAGGUAGAGUAUACUAAGGGGCGCGAGAUAACUCUCUCUAAGGAACUCGGCAAAAUGACUCCGUAACUUCGGGAGAAGGAGUGCCUUAUUUUUAAGGUUGCAAUAACAAGAUCCAAGCAACUGUUUACCAAAAACACAGGUCUCCGCUAAGUCGUAAGACGAUGUAUGGGGGCUGACGCCUGCCCAGUGCCAGAAGGUUAAAGAAGUUGGUUAGCAUUCGCGAAGCUGAUAACUGAAGCCCUGGUGAACGGCGGCCGUAACUAUAACGGUCCUAAGGUAGCGAAAUUCCUUGUCGGGUAAGUUCCGACCCGCACGAAAGGCGUAAUGAUUUGGAUACUGUCUCGGAGAGGGGCUCGGUGAAAUAGACUUGUCUGUGAAGAUGCGGACUACCUGCACCUGGACAGAAAGACCCUAUGAAGCUUUACUGUAACUUGAGAUUGAAAUUGGACUUUAUUUGCGCAGUAUAGGUGGGAGGCGUUGAGAAUAAUCUUGCGGGAUUAUGGGAGCCAUCAGUGAGAUACCACUCUUGUAAUGUUAGAUUUCUAACUUUGUAUCAUUAUCUGGUCAAAGAACAGUUUCAGGCGGGCAGUUUGACUGGGGCGGUCGCCUCCCAAAGGGUAACGGAGGCGCACAAAGGUUUCCUCUGAACGGGUAGAAAUCGUAUCUACAGUGUAAAGGCAUAAGGAAGCUUGACUGUGAGACCUACAAGUCGAGCAGGGACGAAAGUCGGUCUUAGUGAUCUGACGGUGCUGAGUGGAAAGGCCGUCACUCAACGGAUAAAAGUUACUCUAGGAUAACAGGCUGAUCUCCCCCAAGAGUUCACAUCGACGGGGAGGUUUGGCACCUCGAUGUCGGCUCAUCGCAUCCUGGGGCGGUAGUACGUCCCAAGGGUUGGGCUGUUCGCCCAUGAAAGCGGUACGCGAGCUGGGUUCAGAACGUCGUGAGACAGUUCGGUCCAUAUCCGGUGUAGGCGUUAGAAUAUUGAAAGGAGCCUUCUCUAGUACGAGAGGACCGAGAAGGACAUACCUCUGGUGUACCAGUUAUCGUGCCAACGGUAAACGCUGGGUAGCUAUGUAUGGAGUGGAUAACCGCUGAAAGCAUCUAAGUGGGAAGCCCACCUUAAGAUAAGUAUUCUC
This 1241-nucleotide ribosomal RNA is filed under the name metagenome. RNAcentral's name for it is "bacterial LSU rRNA". It matches the Rfam family "Bacterial large subunit ribosomal RNA", at positions 1564 to 2815 of the family's 2925-position model. The record is from RNAcentral.